RNAcentral lists this long non-coding RNA (1116 nucleotides) under Oryzias sinensis (Chinese medaka). RNAcentral's name for it is "lncRNA (ENSOSIG00000008889.1)". The record is from RNAcentral. Lineage: Eukaryota; Metazoa; Chordata; Actinopteri; Beloniformes; Adrianichthyidae.
AUGAACACGGUGUACCGAAAGAGUACGCCGCGUCUUCCUCCGCCGCUGCAUCCCCUCCGAAGCGCGCCCUCACUUGUUCCAACAAGAAAGGGCGAAACCAGCUGUUUUUCGCCUCCAGUCCGACAUGGAGUCCCGCGAACUCGCGCGCGCCGGCCAAAACACGCUCAAAACACGCACAAAACAGCACGCAGCUUCAACCGAAGCGUCCCGGUGACUCACCGGCGUGUCUGUGGCCCGGUCCGGCGCAGCACCGUGGAGCAGGCUUCAGACACACCUCAAGCUCAUGUCAUCGGCAGAAGUUUCUUUGACAGCUCUUUUGUUGUAGGACGUGCUAGAAGGACCAAAGAGAGGGGAGACGGUUCAUCUGCAACAGGCAAUUAGAGCUGCUGGAAAAUUGGUGUUAGCUCACUAAGUGAGUGUGACUUCACUCUAACACAUACGAUCCCACAGAGGUUCAUUCGCCACACAGAGUGAAAAAACACAGGUGGAAAAUAAGCUAAUGAAACAAAGUUAAAGAACAGUUCAAUCAUUUCUGCUGUGGGCCGGAGGAAACAUCAUAAUCUGAGAAGAUGUGACACUUAUUAAGUCACAUGAUUAUACAUUAUUCGCAGAUUUGACUAAAAGUUGAUAUGAGCCACUGUGUUUCAAAAUAAAAUAAACAAUUAGCAUUAAAUUACUCAAAAAAGGGAAUUUCUUGUUUUUUAUUUAUUUAUUUAAUUUUUUGGGGAAAGAAUUCAUUAUUUUAAGAAAGAAAGUUUCACAUUUGUUCAAUUCAAAUGAUGGAAAUGUUUUUUUCUGAAUCAUAUCAAACUGCUUUUGAAUCAAAACUUGCUAAAAAUAAAAUCAAAUCAAUUGAGAACUGAAUCAAAAUCAAAAUAAUUGUCCAUUUUGGUAGGGAUUCCCAUCCUUGAAGGAACUAUAGAAGGAUGUGAUGACAAUGACUUUAACCUUUUACCUCAUUAAAGAUCCACUUUGAUCAAAAUUGUGUUUGACAUGUGCUUGUGGGGUUCUUCUGAUUUCUUCUCAUAUUGUUGUGAAUCACCAGCAGAGGCAAAAAUGCUUUUUGAGAAUGAGCUUUGGGCGGGCCACACGCUCCCAAUACUCCGCUCCUUUCUG